AAGAAAGAAAGAAAGAAAGAAAGAAAGAAAGAAAGAAAGAAAGAAAGAAAGAAAGGAAGGAAGGAAGGAAUGAAGAGAAGGAGAGAUAGAAGGAGAGAUAGAAGGAGAGAUAGAAGGAGAGGGAAACAGACUGAAAUGGUGAAAGUGGGAGACAGGAGAUGCAGGAGACAAAGGGACAGAGACAGAAAGGAGAAGGGGAUGAGAAAUGAGACAGACUGAGACAGAGAGGGAGAGUGUGUGUGACAGCUGUGUGUGAACGAGAUGCCCGGAACCAAGGUGCCCGUCACACACCACCAGGGGGGCACUUUCAGUGAGUGCGCCAUGCAGCCAGACUUGGGGGACAGAAAACAAUGCAACACACGUCACUGCAUCAGGACAAAAUCACAACCUUGUCGGGCCGCAAACAUCCCCUCUCUGUAAUGUCAGUGAAAGGACAGUGACGCAGUGUCCCUUCAACUAGAUAAUACUCAAACCCUCCAAUCCUCUAAACACCAGGAUCUAACCUUCCACAAGUCUAGUUUAACUUUUAACCCUUGACCUUGUCAAAGAGGAGGUCCACUACCAUAUGAGCAACUUUGUACAGCUGUAAUUGAGGCAGGUAGACAAACAGUGCUCUGCUCACUGUUCCAUUAAGUUAAUUGAGUUGUUGAGAAACUCGUACUACAAACAAUCUCGUCGACCAUGAUAAAUGGAUGCACAGAACACUGCAUUAGAAUAGACAGCAUUACCAGACGCAUUCUAGAAAAACCACCUAGCUGUUGUAGUGUCUUUCUACAUAUUGUGAAUUGUUCUGUGUAGAACCAUAAUGUAAAUGUCAGCAUGUUGUGGAUGUCAAGUGGAUCUAUAGCUCUGGCUCAGUGGUGGGUUAACAUUUGUCAUUGGACAGAAUGAAUGGAACUGACCUGACCGUAUGGCCAAUCAGAACACAGGAGGUCAAAGGUUAUAAAUGAAUGCACAGGCGUAAUGGUUCCCCCUGAGUUUAAUUUGUGUCUCAGACUCGUUCAGUCCACUAGUUGUUAGAGGUGUCAUUAUCAAAUAAUUCAGUUGGGUUUUUUUCAAAUCAUGGUGCUAAAAUGUAUGACGCCUCCUCUACUUUUAACCAUCUCUCUGUCCUAAUGGCAGAAAGUCAACAACAAAAAAACUGUUUUAGUUUCCAAAAAGCGAGAUCGGUAAUUGGUCUGAUGUCCUUUCCAAAAGCACCAUGUAGGCCAAGCCUUUUACCUCCAGUCAGAACACUGCUACACUAAAACACUGUUUAAAGGGAAUCGCUGCAUUAGGGUUUUUUGGAGCAGACACACAAAUGCAAGCUUGAUGACCGUGUAUUAUUUUACCACACACACACAGACACACACACAGAGGCUUUCCUGAACAAUCAGUGAGAGCUGAAGAGGUGAGCUGAGCACUAAUUCUGUGCUUUAAUCGGGAAUACAUUUCCUUACACGCGCACGCACACACACACACACAGUAGUUCACUGAGAUAGAGGAUGAGUGAGCAGUGGCUUGUUGUGUAGGGCUGGGAUAUACUGGCGCUCUGAACCAAUGGGACUUCCUGAGUUGUAUGAGUGACAGUCACUCUGACCGAACCAAUUUAAGGUUCCUCAGAUCACCAUGGCAAUGGAAUGAUUUAGAUUUAUUUACAAAAAAAUGCCCUUUUCCUGACAUCGUCUGAAAAAGAAUGGAAAUAAACGUGGAAUUUUGCUUUAGGAGCAGCUAUAACAGGAAAGAAAGAAGUCCGAUAUAAUUACAAAGACAAGAAAACAUUUCCAUUGAGGAUCAUGUCAAUAACAAACUGUAUCACAGUAUCCCCUUUCCAAGUCAAAUAAAACAUUUUUUGUUCACAUUUGUAUUUUUUUCCCAGUAUACUAUAUCACACAGUGAUAACAAAGAAAGGAGAAAUCUACAGCCACGUUAGCUUCGUGCAAAAAACACAUACACUGGCACGCCGCAUAGGCAAAGAUUAAAGCAGAAACAAUGCAUACAAAAAUAUAGAAAAUCUCCAAUGCAACUCAACACCUCACUGAAAACUAGCUUUCUGUCUUUGAACAACAAUUUCUCCACCAAACAGCAUCUCUUUCACCAAAUGGUCACUUCUGGAACAUUCUAUUUGUGUUUUUGUCUUUGAAGGCCUAGACCAUUGGCCUUCCAUAUAGGAAACCAUAGAACCAAAAACAGAAUCCGGUAGCUAUAGUAUGUCAUUAUGACGGUUAGUCAUAAUGAUAUUCAGAAUAAUUAUAAUAACAACAACAUGUUGAAUGAUAGAAAACUAGUACAAUAAAAGCAUAUCAAAUACAUAUUUCCUGUCACUUUUAAGACAUUCCAGCAUUUGCUCAUAACUGUUGGUGACAGGUUACAUACGGUAGUUUGGCAUACUCAGCAAGCCAUGCCCAGAAGGAUGCUAGGGGUCGUGCUCCCCUGUUCAGACGUUGCAUGCAUCAUCCAAUGGUUGUGUGCCACAUCAUCGACUGUGCCGUCAGACACCAGAUUGGUGCAGCAUAUGAUGUGGUUAGCUGAUACGUAAAAUAACUAUCCAGAUUUAGGAAGAUCUGGCACGCGUCAGCAACGCCUGGGAAGAGGAACACGGCUUACAUCUCUUGCAAAAGAGAGGAGGGGUUUCAGGUUUCAGGAUGCAGUGGAACCUGUCCACCAAUGGGAUACAUUGUAUCUGGGUGGUGGCGGGGGAAGGGUGGGGUUAUACAGAACAGCCCAAACUGCAAACCGACGUGCUCAAGACCAGGUCAGCACACAAGUUCAGUUCAGCACUUGCAAACACAUGCAAAGAUAUUUCAUAGUUUUAAGAUUCUGUCUUUCUCUGUCUUUUUUAGUUUUUAGCAGUCUCUCGCUUUCUUGUUGUGUGUGGGUGGAGCACUGAACCCCACUGGCCAAUCCAUGGGCUUCUUACUGAAACCACAGACCAAUUGUUGAGCUUCUUAUUGAAGGCUGUGACAGCCAGUCCAGCUGUCCUGCUUCACAUUGAUAGAAAAGAUUGUUUGGACGCCUCAAGACAAAAAUAUAUUGAUACAUAUCAAAUGGUCAGAGGGCAGGCGGGCAGGCGGGUAGGGGAUUGACAUGAUGCUAUAAGGCAAGGACAGAGGGGUUACACAGCAGUAAGAGUUCAAGUCAUGAAAAAAAACAUGCAGACAGGCUUAACAUAUCAGAGGCCAUGUGAGGGACGGAGAGAUGGACAGGCUUAAACAUAUCAGAGGCCAUGUGAGGGACGGAGAGAUGGACAGGUUUAACAUAUCAGAGGCCAUGUGAGGGACGGAGAGAUGGACAGGUUUAAACAUAUCAGAGGCCAUGUGAGGGACGGAGAGAUGGACAGGUUUAAACAUAUCAGAGGCCAUGUGAGGGACGGAGAGAUGGACAGGUUUUAACAUAUCAGAGGCCAUGUGAGGGACGGAGAGAUGGACAGGUUUAAACAUAUCAGAGGCCAUGUGAGGGACGGAGAGAUGG
Long non-coding RNA from Oncorhynchus tshawytscha (Chinook salmon), 3450 nucleotides. The record is from Ensembl. Lineage: Eukaryota; Metazoa; Chordata; Actinopteri; Salmoniformes; Salmonidae.